This 3703-nucleotide long non-coding RNA is filed under the name Homo sapiens (human). RNAcentral's name for it is "non-protein coding SPINT1-AS1:26". The record is from RNAcentral. Lineage: Eukaryota; Metazoa; Chordata; Mammalia; Primates; Hominidae.
ACCCCAGGAUCGAAGAGGGCGCACGGGCCCGGCCCUCCCACGCGCCCUCCAGGGACCCGGCAGCCAGACAGACGGACAGGCGGACCGCUAGGGAGCUCAAGUACCCGGACACACGCACGAGCGCAGAACAAAGGGCCGGACAUGCUCCAGCCCGCUCCGCCUGCGCCUCGGCCUUGCGCGCGGGGGCCCGGGUUACCUGCGCAGGUGAGUUGGGUGGGGCCGGGUCCGCCGAGGUUCCGGUCCCAGCUUCCUGCGCGGCUCGGGUCGCGGCUUCCGACCCGGUGCUCGGAGAGCUGGGGCUCGGCCGCCUUCUCCCCCUGGUUUCUGGUGAAACUGAGUCAGCGCCGUCGGGGCGGGGCCGACAUUCACCCUUGCGCUGCCGGCCCCGCCCACGCCCGGUGCGCUGCGGCCGCCUCUAGCGCGGAGCUCCAGGCCCGGCCCGCCCCGCGGCCCCGCAGCCCCGGUGCCUCCCCGGCAGCCAGCUCCCCGGAGGGGCUCUCGGGCUCCACCCAGUCCAGCCUCGCGAGGGAGCCCCGCGCCCGAAGCGCAUACCCAGCCGGGAGGGGAUGCGGCCGGGACGCGAGGGUCCGGCCUCUGGGGCGGCGGCCUCCAGUCUUCCUUUCCGGCCGGGGCCUGCUUUCCCAGCCCCAGACCUGAGGCCCGAUGCAAAUGAUCUUUCCGGCCCUCAGGAAAUCAUUUCCAUUUCGUGGCGGGAAGGUAACCCAAAAGUUGCGUGGCUGCACCUGUGAUAACAGGGAUCCGGGAUGUCUGCCUCACUGUCAGCUCCGGGAAGCCCUCCCUGCUGUCAGGGUGAGAAACGGAGGCGAUUCCCCGCGUCCAGGCUCCCCUGCGUGCUCCACGGGGCUUCCCUGUUGUUCGAGGCCCCUCCUCAUCUUGUAUGUACAGUUCGGUCCAUUCCCUGCUAUGGCUCAUUGGACUGUUGCCCCCUUCCCUGGAGCCCAGGCUUCCUCUCUUUCACAAAGGGGACGCUGCUGGCUACUUUCUUCCAGGGAAAUGUCAUCCUUGGAAGCCUGGAGGUUCCAGUUCACCAAGUAGCUGAGUUAAUGCCCUUCACGAAACAGUGGACUCCUUGAAGCCAAGCUCAUUGCUCCUCCUGAGUAAAAAACUCUUAAGAGACCAUUCUCUACGGCAAGGGUCUGAACAGGUGAAAGACAGAUGAAGGCAGGGCUGGAGGAAGGAAUCACAUAGCAUGCUCUCUUAAAAUACAGAUUCCAAACCUUUUCCUGAUGGCUUAACAACCCCCAAACCAAUGGGAACAUUCUUCCCAGUUUCUCAUCCAGAGCAGCUUUGCCUAGCAGAUCCUGUGGCCAACCCUUGGAUUUUGCUGAACUGCAACAUCCUCCAGCUGCUCACAUGAUGCGUGUUGGGGUGGGAAUCUGGGGCCUGUCUCCCCUUCUCUGGAUGUUUAGGGUUUAUCCACAGACCCUGGCACACUGGUGGAUAUACAACAAUGGUGGUAUGCUGGGAAUGAAGAAAAUGAUUGUGCAGUCACUGGGAAGAAAGGGUUUUGUUGUGAUUUGAUUUCCCCUUAUGGCUAACACAUUCAAGAAUCUUUAUUUAUUUAUUUAUUUAUUUUUUUUUUUUUUUUUUUGAGACGGAGUCUUGCUCUGUCACCCAGGCUGGAGUGCAAUGGCACGAUCUCGGCUCACUGCAACCUCUGCCUUCCAGAUUCAGGAAAUUCUGCCUCAGCCUCCCAAGUAGCUGGGCUUACAGGUGGGCACCACCACGCCGAGCUAAUUUUUGUAUUUUUAGUAGAAACGAGGUUUCACCUUUUUGGCCAGGCUGGUCUUGAACUCCUGACCUCAGGUGAUCCACCCACCUCGGCCUCCCAAAGUGCUAGGAUUAUAGGCGUGAGCCACUGUGCCUGACCUCAAGAAUCUUAAUACAGGAAAAUAUUACCUUAUGGUAAUAUUACAUCACCAUAAAUUUAUCAUUACAUCCAUUAUACACACCAUUAUAAAAACCAACAUGAAUUCAGCACUGACAAUGCCCAAACUCUGUUCCUAAGCACUGCCCACAUAUUACCCUAUACUCAAAACAAACCUAGGGAGGUAGUAUUUUUAGCCCCAUUUUACAAAUGAGCAAACAGGCUCAGACAGGUAAACUGACUUGUCAGGUCAUUCAGCAUUGAAGCGGCAGAGUAGGGAUUGGAGCCCAGGCAGGCCAAUUCCAUGGCUUCAGUGCUUAAACCCUGGGCUUUAUGGCCUUUGCAAUUCUGACUUCAUCUGGAAGUUCUGCCCUCACCUCAGAUUCAACUUGCUUAAACCCAUAACUCACUUUCAAGUGGUGAGCACCCACCAUUUGUUGAGAUGCCCACUGUGUUCCCUCCAGGCACUUGACAUAGGAUUGCUAAUGCUCAGGACAACUCUAAAAAUUGCUUCCACUUUGCAGAAAGGUUCACUGACUCCAUCAAGGUCAGGUAGUGAACGAAGAGUGGUGACAGGUUGUAGAGAAGUUGAACUUGUGAGCUUCAGACUCAGACUACUGGAUUUAGCUCUUGCAUCUGCCACUUACUAUUCGUGUGGCCUUGUGCAAGUUAUUUGAUCUCUCUGCCUUAGUCUCCUUGAAUGGGAAGUGGGGCUUCAUAAGGUUUUUUAUGAGGAUUAAUUGAGUUAAUGCAGACAAAGCAUUUGACACAAAGAGUUCUCAAUAAAUGUUACUUGAAACGACAACAACAACAACAACAAAAACACAUGGUGGUGAGGAUGCAGAGAAAAGGGAACGCUUAUACAUUGUUGGUGGGAAUGUAAAUCAGUUCAGCCACUGUGGAAAGCAGCUUGGAGAUUUCUCAAAAACUUAGAACUACCAUUCAACUCAGCAAUCCUAUUACUGGGUAUAUACCCAAAGGAAAAUAUAUUGUUUUUCCAAAAAGACACAUGCACUUGUACGUUCAUCACAGCACUAUUCACAAUAGCAAAGACAUGGAAUCAACCUAGAUGCCCAUCAAUGAUGGAUUGCAUAAAGAUAAUGUACUUCAUACGUACCAUGGAAUACUAUGCAGCCAUAAAAUUAACAAAAUCAUGUCCUUUCCAGCAAUACGAAUGCAGCUGGAGGCCAUUAUCCUAAGCAAAUUAAGGCAGGAACAGAAAACCAAAUACCACAUAUUCUCACUUAUAAAUGGGAGCUAAGCAUUGAGUACACAUGGACAUAAUGAUGGAACAAUAGACACUGAGGACUACCAGAAGAGAGAAGGAGGGAGGGGAGCGUGGGGAGCGUGGGCUGAAAAACAACCUUUUAGGUAAUAUGCUCACUACCUGGGUGACAGGCUCAUCUGUACCCCAAACCCUAUACCCAUGUAACAAACCUGCAUGUGUACCCACUGAAUCUAAAAUAAAAGUUGAGGCCAGGUGCAAUGGCUCAUGUCUGUAAUCCAAGCACUAUGGGAGGCUGAGGCAGGAGGAUUGCUUGAGCCCAGGAGUUCAAGACCAGCCUGGGCAACAUGGCAAGACCCCGUCUCUAUAAAAAAAAAUACAAAAAAUUAGCCAGGCAUAGUGGCGCAUGCCUGUAGUACCAGCUACUCAGGAGGUUGAGGUGGGGGGAUUGCUUGAGCCAGGGAGGUCAAGGUGGCAGUGAGCUAUGAUCAUGCCACUGCACUCCAGCAUGGGUGAAAGAACUAGACCCUGUCUCAAAAAUAAGUAAACAAAAUAAAAGUCGAAAUGAUUCUUUUAAAAAAGUGACAGAG